CUGGCGGCCUCGGCGGCGAGUUGCAUGCCGGGAUACUGGCGGAGCAGUGGAGUGGGGCGGGAGCGGAUGGUGAGAGGAGGAGGCGGCGUCGGCGGCGGUGAAAUGGCGGAGGUUCACAACCAGGAGGAGGAAAAGGAGGACUGGAGCAAGAACGAGCGGCUCACGGCCACCUUGGAGGACGAUAUGGAAGCUGAAAAUUCAUCAGAAAAAACUGUAAAUGAGGAGAAUGGAGAAGUGUCAGAAGAAAAUCAAGAACCAGAUACAGCUCCAGACAAACCCAUUAAGCACAAGAAAAAGAAACAUAAGCAUCGGAGUAAACACAAGAAGCAUAAGCAUUGUUCUGAAGAAGACAAGGAUCGAAAGCAUAAACAUAAACACAAGCAUAAAAAACAUAAAAGGAAAGUGAUUGAGGACCCUGAGAAGGAGGAUGGCCUCUUAAUAAAAAGACCUAAAUUUGAUGAUUAUGCUCUCCUAGAGGAUUUGGAGAAACAGAGGGCUAUGAUAAAAGCUGAAUUGGACAGUGAACUGAUGGAGGGGAAAGUUCAAUCAGGCAUGGGUUUAAUUCUACAGGGUUAUGUAUCGGACUCUGAGGAAGAGGGGGAAAUCCAUGAGAAGACACAUAAUGGUGAGAGAGUUACAUCCAGCCGUGAUGUUUCUGAAAUGUUACCCGUUAGGGACAACAAAAGCAAACGAGAAACUGCAGAGUCAAAGUCUAUUUCAAAGAGACGUAGUAAAAGCAGGUCAAAAGACAGGACUAAACAUAGUAAAUCAGAGAAAAAGAAAAGUAAGAUAAGUGCAGAGCAUAGAAAAGAAAAGGAAAAAACGAGGAGUAUGUCGCGUGAGAGAAAACGGUCAAAAAGCCCAGUCAAAAGAAGCAAGUCCAAAGAAAGAUCAAAGAGGUCGCAGUCUCCAACCUCAACUAAAACGCGAUCACUGGAAAAGAAUAGAAAAUCAAAAACUCCUACAGAAGAUAGGAGCAAGUCAAAAGAUCGAAAGGCUGUAGCAAAUGAAAACAAAGCAAGAGAACGAAAUAGGAAAUCCAAAUCUCCAACCUCAAAAAGAAGUAAGUCAGGAGAGAGAAAUCAGAGAUCUAAAUCCAGAGAUCGGGAGAAGAGGUCAAAGAAAUCUGAAGUUGAAAAAGAGAAAAAAUCUGUUAAAUCUCCAUCUAAAGAUGCCUCUUCUGGGAAAGAGAACCGAUCACCAUUGAGGAAGCCUGCACUUAGCCCUAAAAGAGUAAGCCCUCCUAAAUACCGAGAAAAGUUGUCCAAACGCAGUCGCUCACCUCCAGUAAAUGAUCGUGCAACCAAAUCAAUUCAGUCUCCCUCACGGAAUAAGUCCCCACCGAGAAGAGCUAAAAGUAGAUCUGUGGAAAGGAGGAGGAGGGAUAUAGAACGUUCAAGAGCUCCAUCACCAAGAACACGGUCUAGAGAUGAGGCACUGGGUAGGCAAGAACGACCCAGAGAUUUAAGUACAUCGCGGUGGUCUCCUUCAAGGAGAAGACUCAGCAGAUCUCCGAUCAGAAGGAGAUCUCGUUCUCUUCUCAGACGAAGUCGCUCUCCAAGGAGGAGAAGCCGAUCCAGAAGGAGAGAUUGGAAUCAGAGAAGCAGAUCUCGAAGAAGGCGAUCUAGGUCAAGAGGUCGCCGUGGACGUAUGAGUGGUAACAGAGAUAAAGAAGACAAAUUUAAGGGAAGUCUUUCUGAAGGAAUGAAAGUUGAACAAGAAUCCUCUGAUGAAAACAUGGAGGACUUUGAUGUGGAAGAGGAAGAUGAAGAAGCUGUUAUCAAACAAAGGCGUGAACAGAGAUUAGCAAUUGUUCAGAAAUAUAGAAACCCAAAUGAAGACAGCAACAUGUCUGGAUUCUCUGAACCCAACAGUCCUCAGAGCAGCACUCGUAGCCGUUCCCCUUCACCUGAUGAUAUUUUUGAACGAGCUGCAGCUGAUGUCAAGGAGUAUGAAAGGGAAAAUAUUGACACGUUUGAGGCUUCUGUAAAUGCCAAACGCAACCUCAUGGCAGUUGAGCAAAAAGAAGGAGCUGCGAAGAAGCCAACAGUUCCAGACAUGUUUACGGAAUCUGAUGAUAUGUUUGCUGCAUAUUUUGAUAGUGCUCACCUGAGAGCUGCUGGUUUUGGAAAAGAUUUCAAAGAAAAUCCCAAUCUCAGGGAUAACUGGACGGAUGCAGAAGGCUACUAUCGGGUGAAUAUUGGUGAAGUCCUUGAAAAACGCUACAGUGUUUAUGGUUACACUGGUCAAGGAGUCUUCAGUAAUGUGGUGCGAGCAAGAGACAUGGCAUGGGCCAGCCGCGAAGUGGCAGUCAAAAUCAUCAGGAACAAUGAGCUCAUGCAGAAGACUGGCCUGAAAGAGUUGGAGUUCCUGAAAAAACUAAAUGAUGCAGAUCCCGAUGACAAGUUCCAUUGCCUGAGACUCUUCAGACAUUUUUACCACAAACAACAUCUCUGUUUAGUCUUUGAACCUCUGAGUAUGAACUUGCGUGAAGUGUUGAAAAAAUAUGGAAAAGAUGUGGGUCUUCAUAUAAAAGCUGUGAGAUCAUACAGUCAACAGCUGUUCCUGGCUCUGAAAUUGCUGAAGAGAUGUAACAUCCUGCACGCUGACAUCAAACCCGACAAUAUUCUGGUAAAUGAAUCCAAAACUAUCCUAAAGCUUUGUGACUUUGGCUCAGCUUCCCACGUUGCUGAUAAUGAUAUAACACCAUACCUUGUCAGCAGGUUCUACCGAGCCCCAGAAAUCAUUAUUGGCAAGGUAUAUGAUUAUGCCAUUGACUUGUGGUCUGUUGGCUGCACACUGUAUGAACUUUACACAGGAAAAAUCUUAUUUCCUGGCAAAACUAACAAUCAUAUGCUGAAACUCAUGAUGGAGCUAAAGGGCAAAAUGCCAAACAAGAUGAUCAGAAAGGGUGUAUUCAAGGACCAGCACUUCGAUCAGAAUCUGAAUUUCAUGUAUAUUGAAGUGGAUAAAGUAACAGAAAGGGAGAAGGUCACUGUUAUGAGCACUAUUAAUUCUACCAAGGACCUGUUAGCUGACAUGAUUGGUUGUCAGCGUUUGCCAGAAGACCAGCGUAAAAAAGUCCACCAGCUUAAAGACUUGCUCGAGCAGAUUCUCAUGUUAGAUCCAGCCAAACGAGUCAGCAUCAACCAGGCACUGCAGCAUCCAUUCAUUCAGGAGAAGAUUUAAUCGGAGGAUUUAACGGGUUUGAGCAAUUAAACAAAGACUGGAAAAGUCAGAGAAAAAAAGUAUUUUAGUAUAUGUCAAACACGAUGUUGUUUACCGUGAAAUACGCAUGGUUAAGUUAAAAAUGUUAUUUCGAGUAGGAAUAUGAGUCACUGUAAAUAUAUUGAUUUGUGUUUUUUCCAGACGUUUUUCUUCAUACUUUCACUGUAGUUUUUGUUGAGUUGUUUUAACUGCUAAGACUGCACACAAACAGUUUAAAGUUAUUUUUAAGUCCUUGUAAAACACUGGUGUUUCUUUAGGAGGAAAAUUCUGGCGCUCAAUCUCCAAAACACACCUUUGUUUUUGUGCAGACUUGGCCCAUCCUUGUCUCUGUAACAAUGGCCGAGGUAAAAUGAUGUUUAUAUUCACAUUUUCCUAGGUGUGUGUGCAGGCCAGCAUGCCCUUGGUGUACUCAGUGCCGAAGGGGUCUGUCCCUACCUGUGCCUGCUUACAGGGAUGGUCACAUCAUUAAAAGCAGGUUGUGUACCACUUUCAGUACACUGAAGGCAUACAUAACCUUCCACUCUUGAGCAAAGCAGCUGCUUUUUAAAGCGGUAAUUGCUUCUUUACCUUUUUUCUUUUAUGUUUUUUUGUUUAAGAUGAGUUGUGAUGACUUGUUGUAGUUCUGUACUUAGCCCCUUCACUGGCAAACAUUAAGCAUUAAGUUGUAAUUCUGUUUGCACCAAUGAACGUAUUUUUUGUUCAGUCUGUUUUUGCACCUAAUGUGGCAUUCCAUGAAUGAACCGGGCAUAAAAUGUGUUUCAUAUUCGUUCAUUAAUUACUGAUGUAAGUAACAUUCAAUGACGAUCCAAUCCGAGGCCUGCAUAAUUGCAGCCGGUCAGUGAAGGGGUUAAAAUAAUCGUACAAUGCCUUUGCUUAUACAAAGGUAGGUUGGGGCAUUUGUCACACAACACACACACAGACACGCACUCUUCCUGCAUGUAAAGAUAACCAUGCAGAAUACUGGAGAGAAUUUCGAUAUGCAUUCAGAUAUGUUGGUGAAUAAAGCAUUUGUUUUGAACAAACCGAUUGUAGCUGUUUUCACAGUGGUCCGACAUGCAGUCAGGUCUCUAUGCAACGCUAAAACUACAAUGGUGACUUGCUGAUCUGAUCUGUUUUUUUAUGCUGGCAAUCCCAGUGGUCUUGGAUGUAUGAAACCUUUAAUGACUCAUUUUCUACAUGUGAUGACAUUUUUAUCCAAUUCACAGUACCCAAUAAAAUCUAGGAUUAUCGAGUCACAAAUCAGUACACUGAACAUAAAGUGCUUUUAGUUGCUUUAAACCUUUCACUUACUACUUCAAAAAAUAAAAAACUGAUAAAGAUGAUUUAUGCAAAAAGGAGAACAGUUUUUGAAUGUUUGUUUUCAGCAACAAUUUGGUUAGCAUCGUUUUAGAAAUCACUAAAAGUGCCUUAAAGGUGGCAUUAGAAGGCAAUAUCUCAGAAUAAUGUCAGUUAAAGGCUGCCACAAUUCACAAACCUAUUUGGAAGUCUGAUCCACUCAUUCAUACUACAAAAUGACUAAUGUUUUCUACUGUUUUCUUACUUCCCUUCGAUGAUGCUGAGAGAGAAAGGAAAGCACGUUAUGUUACUAUGCUUGGAAGCAACAGGCCACGUCGCCUAUUCCUGGGGGCCUGCUUUGAAUGAGACAGCUUCACCUUCUCCACAAGGUGCACCCUGAUGGGAGGCGAUGCACAUUGCAAGAAAACGAAGACUGAAUUAAGGUUUCUGUUCCAUAAAGACAAUAACAUUUACAGUGACUUUAAUAAAUAGCAGGAGACUCGCUGUUAAUUUGUAAUUUUCAAUUGAAAAGGGUGUUAUCAAAGAUCUAUAAUGCUAAAUUUCAGUUCCAGGAAUCCAUAUUUUAGUUUUAUCAUUAAGUAAAAGGAUUGAUCAUUUUCUCACAUGGAAUAAUUUUACAUUUUGAAUGGAUGUACAAAUCUUGCAUUAUAAUUUUGGACUUUGCAUUUAAAGAAACAAGACCAACCUAUAGUUGUUGUGAAAAUAAAUGGCUGUAGUGGACUUAGAUCCUUACCAAAGUAAUCUUUGAUUUCAGAAACCAAGUUAAAAAUUCCAUUUAUUAAAUAUUACUUUUUUUAGUGAAAAAUAAGUUCUUUGCACCUAGUUUAGUAACAUUUAAAGAUCAGCUUGAACCUAUUUUGAACUAUUAAAUUGGUGGCAAAUUUAAGAAUUGGUAAUCUUGACUUUUUUAUAUCGUUUUAUUAUGUAGUAAAACAUUAUUUUGAUGAUUUAUUUAAUGGAUGUUGUGUCUUCCAUUAUUGUUCCGUUUCAGAAUAUGUUGAUUCAACAACCAUUCAUUAUGGCAGGCAAACUUGAAGCUCGUCCCAAUUCUCUUUCGUUCCCAUGCGAUCCAGUUACAUAGAUUAUAUCAUAACAUUUGAGUCACAUUUGGUGCACUUAUAAUAUACCUUUAUGCAGGGAGUCUAGUCAAACAGAUCCCAGACCGUUAUGUUGUAAAAUUUAAAGUGUUCUUUGUGUUUGUGCUCUUAACCUGUGUGUUUUAUUCUGUAGGUAAGGGCCAGGAUGUAAAAUGCCUACAUCUUCGAAUGACCUUCAUUAACUUAGCUUCAACAUAAGUCGCUGAGAGCAAACAGUUCUUCAGUACUGAAUUAAAGUGAAGACAAUGGCUUUGCAGAAUAAUAGAUCAUUUUUGGACACUUGUAAACUUGGAGUUUAAUUCUGUUGCUUCUGAUCCUUGACCAUUUUUAGCUUUUAAAGGUAGAUGUAUUGUACACAAAAAUGAAACUUUUGCUAAUCUUGAGUACUGAUUAUUCUAGAACACUUCAUACUGAAUAAAACAUUUUAACUAUG
This is an RNA transcript of Callorhinchus milii (elephant shark), 6054 nucleotides long. It is a transcript of the gene named pre-mRNA processing factor 4Bb, with no coding region annotated. The record is from RefSeq and is a predicted model, not a curated record. The transcript is spliced from 17 exons. NCBI's taxonomy places the organism in Eukaryota, Metazoa, Chordata, Chondrichthyes, Chimaeriformes, Callorhinchidae.